RNAcentral lists this unclassified non-coding RNA (883 nucleotides) under Hevea brasiliensis (rubber tree). The record is from RNAcentral. Lineage: Eukaryota; Viridiplantae; Streptophyta; Magnoliopsida; Malpighiales; Euphorbiaceae.
UACAUCUCUCUUUUCCCCAAAACCAAAUUUCUGCGUCUCUCUCACAAAUUUUCUCAGCCAUGACUGCUCAAUCUCAAGAAGAAAUCUUAGCCGCUCAUCUGGAACAACAGCAGAUUGAAUCCGAGGAGCCAAUUAUUGAGGAUGAAGACGACAAUGAUGAAGACGACGACGAUGAAGAUGACAAAGAUGAUGAUGAUGUUGAAGGGGGUAGUGGUAGGUCAAAACAGAGCAGGAGCGAGAAAAAGAGUCGAAAAGCUAUGAUCAAGCUUGGAAUGAAGCCAAUCCCCAUGGUCAGCCGUGUCACUGUCAAAAAGAGCAAGAAUAUUCUAUUUGUCAUCUCAAAACCAGAUGUUUUCAAGAGCCCUGCAUCAGACACAUAUGUCAUAUUUGGUGAGGCAAAGAUUGAGGACUUGAGUUCUCAAUUGCAGUCUCAAGCUGCUGAGCAGUUCAAGGCUCCUAAUUUGAGUAAUGUGAUAUCAAAGCCAGAACCAUCAACGGUGGCUCAGGACGAUGAGGAUGUAGAUGAGACUGGUGUAGAACCCAAGGAUAUCGAGCUGGUGAUGACUCAAGCUGGUGUUUCCAGAGCAAAAUCUGUCAAGGCUCUCAAGGCUGCAAAUGGUGAUAUUGUCUCUGCCAUUAUGGAGCUUACAAACUAGAAACUCUUUACUAUGUAACUUUUUUUCUUUCUCCAAUCUCUUGAGCUGACUAUGAAUAUUAAAGGUUUCAGUUACUGCUUUUCCCAUUCAGUUUUACUGUUCUGCUUGCUAUCAUUGUAUACCAGAGACAUGCUGAGUUAUGCAAACUAAAAAAAAAAUGGAGUUGUGAGGUAAAACAUUUCUCCCUAAAAGGCGAUUCGAUAUUUAUGAUUUGCCUGUAAUAGUUG